This 735-nucleotide long non-coding RNA is filed under the name Cricetulus griseus (Chinese hamster). Its description in RNAcentral is "lncRNA (ENSCGRG00015043250.1)". The record is from RNAcentral. Lineage: Eukaryota; Metazoa; Chordata; Mammalia; Rodentia; Cricetidae.
GGGAGGAAGGGGAACCAGCUGGCCAGAAAAUUGCAAAGGUCGCUGAUGCAAUCUUGCAACAGCUUGCUCAGCCUUCCCUGUUAGAGCCCAGAGCCAGAGGGGAAAGGGUGCCAUUCUUAGGGGUCUGAGGUCAUUGGCCAGAGUCAGAAGCCAGCGUCAAUCCCUUGGUCUGCUACAGCCCUUCAGUUCUAGUCGAAGGUGAAAGUUUGGAAUUUAAAGUUCAUGCUUUAGUUGAUAGGUAAGUGAGCAAGGUAACCACAGGCCAAAUGUAGAUUAUUCUUGGAGGAGCCUGGCUUGGCUUUUUGUUCUUUUAACCUUGUCAAGCCAGAAAGUUCUGUAAGGAAGGUCUGAGCCAAGUUUAACUUCAGUCUUGGCAUUGUUCUUAAGCCUUCCUGAUAAAUUUGGAGCACUCCUAGUAGCUGGCAGCAGUGACCAUGGAACUUCCCCAAGGACCACGAGGGUUCCAGACACAGUGGCUCCUGGGAAAGAAUAUGAUGUAUACCUAGACAAGAGAGCACCCAAUUGGUUUCCCCCUCGGAAGGUGGUGCUAUCCCUGGGCAUGUGGUCCUGGGCUAUAGGAGAAGGCCGGCUGAGCAAGCUGUGAAGAGCAAGCCAGUAAGCAGCACUGUUACUGGAUUUUCUUUUCCAGUCAGGUUCCACCACCCUUCUCAGCCCCAAAGAAACACGCAGACGCUAUAUUAAUUAUAAAGCUAUUGGCUGAUGACUAGGGAUUCU